GACGAACGCUGGCGGCGGGCUCAACACAUGCAAGUCGAACGGAAAGGCCCUGCUUUUGGGGGGUGCGCGAGUGGCGAACGGGUGAGUAACACGUGAGUAACCUGCCCUUGACUUUGGGAUAACUUCAGGAAACUGGGGCUAAUACCGGAUAGGAGCUCCUGCUGCAUGGUGGGGGUUGGAAAGUUUCGGCGGUUGGGGAUGGACUCGCGGCUUAUCAGCUUGUUGGUGGGGUAGUGGCUUACCAAGGCUUUGACGGGUCGCCGGCCUGAGAGGGUGACCGGCCACAUUGGGACUGAGAUACGGACCAGACUCCUACGGGAGGCAGCAGUGGGGAAUAUUGCACAAUGGGCGGAAGCCUGAUGCAGCAACGCCGCGUGCGGGAUGACGGCCUUCGGGUUGUAAACCGCUUUCGCCUGUGACGAAGCGUGAGUGACGGUAAUGGGUAAAGAAGCACCGGCUAACUACGUG
RNAcentral lists this ribosomal RNA (468 nucleotides) under uncultured bacterium. Its description in RNAcentral is "partial 16S ribosomal RNA". It matches the Rfam family "Bacterial small subunit ribosomal RNA", at positions 28 to 507 of the family's 1533-position model. The record is from RNAcentral.